This 227-nucleotide ribosomal RNA is filed under the name uncultured Streptococcus sp. RNAcentral describes it as "partial 16S ribosomal RNA". It matches the Rfam family "Bacterial small subunit ribosomal RNA", at positions 1152 to 1382 of the family's 1533-position model. Lineage: Bacteria; Bacillati; Bacillota; Bacilli; Lactobacillales; Streptococcaceae. The record is from RNAcentral.
CCGGAUAACCGGAGGAAGUGGGGAUGACGUCAAAUCAUCAUGCCCCUUAUGACCUGGGCUACACACGUGCUACAAUGGUUGGUACAACGAGUUGCGAGUCGGUGACGGCGAGCUAAUCUCUUAAAGCCAAUCUCAGUUCGGAUUGUAGGCUGCAACUCGCCUACAUGAAGUCGGAAUCGCUAGUAAUCGCGGAUCAGCACGCCGCGGUGAAUACGUUCCCGGGCCUU